UAUGUACUAAACCAUAUAGG
This 20-nucleotide transfer RNA is filed under the name Hemiculter leucisculus (sharpbelly). RNAcentral describes it as "partial tRNA-Pro". The record is from RNAcentral. Lineage: Eukaryota; Metazoa; Chordata; Actinopteri; Cypriniformes; Xenocyprididae.